GCUGCUGUACGCGUAAGCUGGUAACGCGCGCCCUCCUUGCAAAAGGGGGCCGGUAUCUGGGUUCAAAUCCCGGCGGCAACG
RNAcentral lists this transfer RNA (81 nucleotides) under Desulfovibrio piger. Its description in RNAcentral is "tRNA-Ala". The record is from RNAcentral. Lineage: Bacteria; Pseudomonadati; Thermodesulfobacteriota; Desulfovibrionia; Desulfovibrionales; Desulfovibrionaceae.